AUUGAACGCUGGCGGCAGGCCUAACACAUGCAAGUCGAGCGGAUGAAGGGAGCUUGCUCCUGGAUUCAGCGGCGGACGGGUGAGUAAUGCCUAGGAAUCUGCCUGGUAGUGGGGGAUGACGUCCGGAAACGGGCGCUAAUACCGCAUACGUCCUGAGGGAGAAAGUGGGGGAUCUUCGGACCUCACGCUAUCAGAUGAGCCUAGGUCGGAUUAGCUAGUUGGUGGGGUAAAGGCCUACCAACGCGACGAUCCGUAACUGGUCUGAGAGGAUGAUCAGUCACACUGGAACUGAGGCACGGUCCAGACGCCUAAGAGAGGCAGCAAUUGGGAAUAUUGGACAAUGGAGGAAUGCCUGAUCCGGCACUCUCGCGUGUAUGAAGAAGGUCUUCAGAUUGUGAAGGGCAAUAAGUUGGGAGGAAAGGCAGUAAGUUAAUACCUUGCUGUUUUGACGUUACCAACAGAAUAAGCACCGGCUAACUUCGUG
RNAcentral lists this ribosomal RNA (484 nucleotides) under uncultured bacterium. Its description in RNAcentral is "partial 16S ribosomal RNA". It matches the Rfam family "Bacterial small subunit ribosomal RNA", at positions 30 to 507 of the family's 1533-position model. The record is from RNAcentral.